UACGGAGGGGGUUAGCGUUGUUCGGAAUUACUGGGCGUAAAGCGCGCGUAGGCGGAUUGGAAAGUUGGGGGUGAAAUCCCAGGGCUCAACCCUGGAACUGCCUCCAAAAACUCCCAGUCUUAGUUCGAGAGAGGUGAGUGGAAUUCCGAGUGUAGAGGUGAAAUUCGUAGAUAUUCGGAGGAACACCAGUGGCGAAGGCGGCUCACUGGCUCGAUACUGACGCUGAGGUGCGAAAGUGUGGGGAGCAAACAGGAUUAGAUACCCGGGUAGUC
This 272-nucleotide ribosomal RNA is filed under the name uncultured bacterium. RNAcentral describes it as "partial 16S ribosomal RNA". It matches the Rfam family "Bacterial small subunit ribosomal RNA", at positions 524 to 795 of the family's 1533-position model. The record is from RNAcentral.